RNAcentral lists this long non-coding RNA (1224 nucleotides) under Apteryx rowi (Okarito brown kiwi). Its description in RNAcentral is "lncRNA (ENSARWG00000014487.1)". Lineage: Eukaryota; Metazoa; Chordata; Aves; Apterygiformes; Apterygidae. The record is from RNAcentral.
AGAGGAUCAGGGAAAUAAAAGGAGAGAUCCUGGUAGGACUGCAGGAGCUGGGCUGGUUGCAGACUGUUCUCUGCUGUUUCCUUAUCCCUGCAGGCUGUUGCUGGUGUUGCUAAUGCAGGAAAGGGUGAAUGCGUGUGAGUCGGGCCUCUAGCUCUGCAUCUGAACUGAUGCUUGGAUUCUCCCUGAGGACUGACAGGCAGAGCAAGAGCACAGAUUCCCUUGACCCUGAGCCAAUCAAUGACAAAUUGUACAAGUCCCCAUUGAAAACAUUGCAGAAGCCAGAGGAAUGCCAGCUUUACUGUGUAGUACAUUUAACUCAGAUAUUUUAAGCUUACAACUGUUGUCUUGCAUUUAGUUUUUGGUGUCAAAUGUUUAAUGAGACAGACUAUGUGCUGAUGGGAAUCAAUGAUGGUGGAGUUGAUUGAUUUGAGUUUAAUGAUUUGAGAAUAUGAGGAUUUCCAGAGUAAGCUGGRAGGCUGGAAAAAUGUUCAAAGACAUAGUUGGCAGAGCCAGUCUGCAAAACCUUUGAAACAGUAAAAAGGCAUAAAUCUCAGGCGGCUUCUUGUCAGACAGCUGUGAUCUGUGAUGGCACCAGUGGUAGAAGGAGAAGAGGUACAGAGGCUACAAAAAGGAACUGUUUCUGGAAGCGGCUGGUGGGAUUUAGAUCUGGUUUUAGCGGGGAUGAAGUUUUGGGACUGAGGCCAAGUGCUAUUUCCAGAAUUUGAGGUUGACCCCUGGCUUGGAUUUAAGGGCUUGAAUUCAGUGCAGUUUAAAUCUGAGGCUGAACUUUGGUUGACAUCUGCUGGUUGGGAUUCUAGGAAAGCAAACCCUAGUAAGCUCUUUGAAGCUUCGUUGACUGAGGUGAACUUCAGUCUCCAAAUACUGGUUGGAAAGCAAGAUUUAUUUGAGCCACGUUCCAACAAGAAAGACAACCCAAACUGGUGACAUUGAGGUCUGGCCUCAACACCCUCAUUUCUCCUGCAUUUUGGAACCUGAGGGGCAGGGGAGAGAAAAAGAUGUCUGGCAAAUAGAAAUUCAAUUGGUUUAAUACACAGACUAUUUUACUGCGGUCUAACUGGAACCCCUUAUUAAGAAUCCGAUGGCAUUUCUAAAUAGGGAGAGCUGCUCCCUUGGUGAGGGCAAUCUCCAAUCAUACACCAACAUUGCUUUUGACAUAUUUAUGACUCCAAUAAAAUCUCCCAUCUGGUAUAUUUUAAAAUAAAA